Molecule: ribosomal RNA, 253 nt
Filed under: uncultured bacterium
Lineage: Bacteria
Description: partial 16S ribosomal RNA
Rfam family: Bacterial small subunit ribosomal RNA
Source: RNAcentral
UACGAAGGGUGCAAGCGUUAAUCGGAAUUACUGGGCGUAAAGCGUGCGUAGAUGGUUCACUCAGUCGGAUGUGAAAGCCCCGGGCUCAACCUGGGAACUGCAUCCGAUACUGGUGGACUAGAGUGCGGUAGAGGAUGGCGGAAUUCCCGGUGUAGCGGUGAAAUGCGUAGAGAUCGGGAGGAACAUCCGUGGCGAAGGCGGCCAUCUGGACCAGCACUGACGUUGAGGCACGAAAGCGUGGGGAGCAAACAGG